GAUGAAGAACGCAGCGAAAUGCGAUACGUAAUGUGAAUUGCAGAAUUCAGUGAAUCAUCGAGUCUUUGAACGCACAUUGCGCCCCCUGGUAUUCCGGGGGGCAUGCCUGUCCGAGCGUCAUUGCUGCCCUCAAGCACGGCUUGUGUGUUGGGCCCCGCCCCCCGGUCUCGGGGGGCGGACCCGAAAGGCAGCGGCGGCACCGCGUCCGGUCCUCGAGCGUAUGGGGCUUCGUCACCCGCUCUGUAGGCCCGGCCGGCGCCCGCCGGCGACCCCAAUCAAUCUAUCCAGGUUGACCUCGGAUCAGGUAGGGAUACCCGCUGAACUUAAGCAUAUCAAUAAGCGGAGGA
This 347-nucleotide unclassified non-coding RNA is filed under the name soil metagenome. Its description in RNAcentral is "partial contains 5.8S ribosomal RNA, internal transcribed spacer 2, and large subunit ribosomal RNA". The stretch from base 1 to 120 matches the Rfam family "5.8S ribosomal RNA", at positions 35 to 154 of the family's 154-position model. The record is from RNAcentral.